GACGAACGCUGGCGGCGUGCUUAACACAUGCAAGUCGAACGCUGAACCCGCUUCGGUGGGGGUUGAGUGGCGAACGGGUGAGUAACACGUGGGCAACCUGCCCCCGGCUCUGGGAUAACUCCAAGAAAUUGGGGCUAAUACCGGAUGUGACCGCUGGCCGCAUGGUCUGGUGGUGGAAAGGGUUUCCGGCUGGGGAUGGGCCCGCGGCCUAUCAGCUUGUUGGUGGGGUAGUGGCCUACCAAGGCGACGACGGGUAGCCGGCCUGAGAGGGUGACCGGCCACACUGGGACUGAGACACGGCCCAGACUCCUACGGGAGGCAGCAGUGGGGAAUAUUGCGCAAUGGGCGGAAGCCUGACGCAGCGACGCCGCGUGGGGGAUGACGGCCUUCGGGUUGUAAACCUCUUUCAGCAGGGACGAAGCGCAAGUGACGGUACCUGCAGAAGAAGCACCGGCCAACUACGUG
Molecule: ribosomal RNA, 465 nt
Filed under: uncultured bacterium
Lineage: Bacteria
Description: partial 16S ribosomal RNA
Rfam family: Bacterial small subunit ribosomal RNA
Source: RNAcentral